Molecule: long non-coding RNA, 778 nt
Filed under: Bos indicus x Bos taurus (hybrid cattle)
Lineage: Eukaryota; Metazoa; Chordata; Mammalia; Artiodactyla; Bovidae
Description: lncRNA (ENSBIXG00005018356.1)
Source: RNAcentral
GGUCACAGGGUGAGCCUUUCCUCUUCUCCUCUGCUUCCUUUCUCACCACAAAGGGCGUUCAUUUCACAUCCCUGAAGCUGAGAGGCCUGAGGGGCGGGAACCAGCCAGCGAGGCCCCCAGAACCGGCGCGGGGAGCCGGCCCACCCCUGCGCUGGGAGGCCAGGCGCAGAGCCGGCGAGAGAGCCCAGACUCAAGCCGAGACCCCGAGGGAGGGGGAGAAACGCCCCUGGUCUCCCUACCCACCCCGAAGACGCCGGGCGGGGCCGGGGGCAGCGCAGAGGCGGGGCCAGCGCGGCGACCCGAGGAGAGGCAGCUACCGCAGACAGGGCCAAGGGCUCGUAGGAGGGAAGCGGAGUCGGGCACAGAGCCCUUACAGACCUUGAAGCUGCGCUCAGAGGCAGACGGACCCCAGAAACAGAGUUCCACAAAGCGGAAGUUUUGUGGGCGCAUUCCUCCUGCCGGCGGGAGGGGGCGGUGAAGGAACGUUACAAGGCCCGGCAAUCCCCAAGCCUGCUUCACCGGCUCACCUGAUGCGCCCCUGACAUGCUUCACACACGGCCUGGAGUCAACGUCUGUCCCUGGGAUGACAGAUCCAAGGCCACAUCCGCGCCCCGCCACUGCUCUUGUCCAGGCUGGAAUCUCAGAACCGCACUGCCUCUCAGGCUGAUCAGAGGAGCUGUAGGUGCAAGUGUUCCAGUCCUUAGACAGGUCAUGUUCUGCCCGGGAGCUCAGCCCCAGAACCGUGGAGGAAGCUCAGCCCCAGAACCGUGGGGGAAGC